Pseudoliparis swirei is the source of this 2319-nucleotide long non-coding RNA. RefSeq lists it as uncharacterized. NCBI's taxonomy places the organism in Eukaryota, Metazoa, Chordata, Actinopteri, Perciformes, Liparidae. The record is from RefSeq and is a predicted model, not a curated record. The transcript has 2 exons.
GCACCUGAACGCAGCACAUCGGGGACUGUUGUGGAACACACCGCAGCGCACCUGAACGCAGCACAUAGGGGACUGUUGUGGAACACAGCGCAGCGUACCUGAACGCAGCACGAGCACCAGGUUGGGGAUCAGUGGUCCUUGCCGCGUGUUUUCUCUUCCCAGUGAUGCCCAGGAUGCUAGCGAGCGAGCGGCUACAGAUACGACUCAUUUCAUGUGGAGCAGCAAUGGAAGCUACUCGAACAACCACGGGGACCAAGAUCAACGUCCGAGGCCAUAUUUGGGCGAACUUUUUUCUUUUGUCGGAGUGAAAGUUCCUUCCUCCCGGAUGAAGUGCCUCUUAUGCCGACCGAAAGCUACGGAGAUAUGGCCUUCAACAACUCACCAACCUCAGGAAACACAUUGAGGAAUGGACUACAUCAAGCAGCACAUGGAAAAACCCUCCCUGCAGCUAGGGGAUGCCACCAGGUCCAGUUCAUCUGAUGAAGAGGACUUCUUCUUCGUCAUCUCAAGCCCGUGACAGCAGCAAACAGCUGGAUGGAGACGUGGAUCACGUUGACUUGCUGAAAUGCUUCCCAACUGUGUGCUGCUGUCUGUCACUCUACCUGCAUCAGGGCCUGUGAAGCUAGACACACUCUACCUGCACCAUGUGAACGGCUCUUCAGCAUCGCAGGACUCGUCUUCAGCCCCAGAAGAGCGACACUGAAAUCUGUCCAUUUUGAAAAUCAACUUCUUUUGAAGAUGAACAAGACAUUUUUCACUUUAAAGUGAUGAUUUUGGUUGUUACUAUUGGUUCUGCUUUUUUCUGUGUUAAUCGUGUUUUUAUAUUUUAGUAAUUUCAUAGUAUUCAUAUAUUGCUAAGUUCAUCCUAGCUCAUACUCCUUGUUCAUGGCGGCCACAGCACCCAAACAAAUAAACUUCAUAAUUCUCAAAAUUCUGACCCUUUGUUGUUUUUUUAUUACCAGCAUUUACUUUUACUUUUACUUUCAAUACUUAAGUACAUUUAAUAUCAGAAAAUUACUUUUGAUACUUAAGUACAACAAAAAUCGGAUACUUUAAUACUUUUACUCAAGUAGUAUUCUCAUUCUCAGGGGCGGCUUUAGCUCAGUGGGGUAAGAGGGCCGUCCUGCAACCGCAGGGUUGUGGGUUCGAUCCCCGCUCUCCCCAUUAGUUGCAAGUCGAAGUGUCCUUGAGCAAGGCACUGAACCCCCAGUUGCUUCCCGGGCGCUUCACCGCAGCCCACUGCUCCUUAAUAACUAAGGAUGGGUUAAAUGCAGAGAACUAAUUUCCCCUUGGGGAUUAAUAAAAGUGUAUAUUCUAUUCUAGGUGACUUUUACUUUUACUUGAGUAAUUUUCCAGUCAAGUAUCUUUACUUUUACUCAAGUAUGACUUUUGGGUACUUUAUACACCACUGGUUGUAAGUCAUUGAAACUUUGGUUUAAUCUUAUAAAUCUUGUUAAAUUCAAAACAUUUGCCUCAUUGAGAAAUAGAAAUAAUAUUUCAACUUUGGCGAAUGAGAGACACACAAGAUUAAAUAUUUCUACUUUGACGAAAAUUUCGCCUGACUGAGUUGCAAAAGCCAAUCAGUGUUGAGACACUACACCCGUCAUCACUGACGUCUUGCUGUUGGUGAAUCUAACUUGCUGCUACUCUAGCAGCGCUGGAAGCGGCAGUUAUUCAGACGUAGUCGGUGAAAGUCACCGAGCUGUGUGAGCCUACGGGUGAUGUUAUGAACUCAGACACGAGGGCGUUAGAUGUUCCGACGUUUGUGGGAUGUCCUCAACAAGUAUAAAGCAGGACUAGUGGUUAGUUCUUCGUGGUGGAUGAAGGAAACGAUAACCGUUUCCACGGAGUAAAGCCACGGAGAUAAGCCACGCCCCUCUAAGGCCGGAAUGAAGCAAAUGACGCUCAUGUGAUUGGUUGAAAAUGAGGGCGACAUCUGAUUGGCUACAGAUAGGUCUAUGUUGAAAAAAACGCAUUUGCGAAUCGAGACACAGCAGGGGGGUCUCAAAAACCCGUACACAAAUGUGGAGCGAUUCACAAACAAAUAAAUCGUAAUUUAAUGAUGUGUGCAUUGGAAUGUAUUUGUGAAUCGUUCUGCGUGUAUUUGUGAGUCUCUCUGUGUGCAUUUGCCAUUAUUGAGACUGAUCUGACCCCAUACAGCUCUCCCUGGAUGUAAUACGACGUGUUUUCUUUCUAAAAUCUCUUAACCAAUUCAGCUUUGUUGUUGUUGUUGAUUUAACAAUAGGAAACUACGCAUGCAUUCCAAUAAAUGGCGCCUAUCAUGUUUUAUCCAUGAUGGAAUGUAGCGUCUAAUCAGCU